RNAcentral lists this ribosomal RNA (309 nucleotides) under Pseudomonas marginalis. RNAcentral describes it as "bacterial SSU rRNA". It matches the Rfam family "Bacterial small subunit ribosomal RNA", at positions 200 to 492 of the family's 1533-position model. The record is from RNAcentral. Lineage: Bacteria; Pseudomonadati; Pseudomonadota; Gammaproteobacteria; Pseudomonadales; Pseudomonadaceae.
GAGAAAGCAGGGGACCUUCGGGCCUUGCGCUAUCAGAUGAGCCUAGGUCGGAUUAGCUAGUUGGUGGGGUAAUGGCUCACCAAGGCGACGAUCCGUAACUGGUCUGAGAGGAUGAUCCAGUCACACUGGAACUGAGACACGGUCCAGACUCCUACGGGAGGCAGCAGUGGGGAAUAUUGGACAAUGGGCGAAAGCCUGAUCCAGCCAUGCCGCGUGUGUGAAGAAGGUCUUCGGAUUGUAAAGCACUUUAAGUUGGGAGGAAGGGCCAUUACCUAAUACGUGAUGGUUUGACGUACCGACAGAAAAGCC